RNAcentral lists this ribosomal RNA (486 nucleotides) under uncultured bacterium. Its description in RNAcentral is "partial 16S ribosomal RNA". It matches the Rfam family "Bacterial small subunit ribosomal RNA", at positions 30 to 507 of the family's 1533-position model. The record is from RNAcentral.
AUUGAACGCUGGCGGCAUGCCUAACACAUGCAAGUCGAACGGCAGAACGGAUGCUUGCCCUUGGUUGAGCGUGGCGCAGGGGUGUGAAAUCCAUCGGACUAUGUCGUGUAGUGGGGGAUCGCCCGGAGACAGCCGGUUAAAUACCGUAUACGAUGCGCGGAAGAAAGCGGGGGCCUCUCAGGUCUCGCGAUAUAGGGUUGGUCGAGGUCUGAUUAGCUAGUUGGUGGGGUAAAGGCCUACCAAGGCGACGAUCAGUAUCUGGUCUGAGAGGAUGAUCAGUCACACUGGGACUGAGACACGGUCCAGACUCCUACGGGAGGCAGCAGUGGGGAAUUUUGGACAAUGGGCGAAAGCCUGAUCCAGCAAUGCCGCGUGUGUGAAGAAGGCCUUCGGAUUGUAAAGCACUUUUGGCUGGAAAGAAAGCCAUGACGCUAAUACAGUCGGGGUAUGACGUUACCGGAAGAAUAAGCACCGGCUAACUACGUG